CCCUUAGAUGUCCUGGGCCGCACGCGCGCUACACUGACAUGUUCAACAAGCCUCCUAGUUCGACAGGAUUUGGGAAAUCUUUGAACGCAUGUCGUGAUAGGGAUAGAUCAUUGCAAUUAUUGAUCUUGAACGAGGAAUUCCUAGUAAACGCGAGUCAUCAGCUCGCAUUGAUUACGUCCCUGCCCUUUGUACACACCGCCCGUCGCACCUACCGAUUGAAUGUUUCGGUGAAGAUUCCGAUAGGACUUUUUUGAUUUAUUUCAAUUUUGUCUUAAAAGCUAUCUAAACCUCAACAUUUAGAGGAAGGUGAAGUCGUAACA
Molecule: ribosomal RNA, 320 nt
Filed under: uncultured eukaryote
Lineage: Eukaryota
Description: partial 18S ribosomal RNA
Rfam family: Eukaryotic small subunit ribosomal RNA
Source: RNAcentral